AUCAAGACCAGAAGGCUUCUCUGAUCCUCCAGCACCAGCAGGAGAUCCAGGCUUUGCAGCAGGAGCUGGUGCGAAUGAAGAGCCACUCACAGGAGCUCCAGGCUGAGGAGCUGGGAGGUCUCCGGCAGCAGCUGUUGGAGGCUCACACCUGCACUGCAGACCUGGAGGAGCACCUGAAGAACCUGGAGAGUGAGCAGGCAGAGGCUGAAGAGAUGAUGGUGGAGCUGAGGAGGAAACAUCUGGCUGAGGUUCAGAGGCUCAAGGAUGAGUAUGCAGAACAGCUGGAAAACAGACUCCUAGAGGAAAGAGCUGAACUGGAGCAAGGGUUGUCAGGUGAUUGGGCCAGAGAGAAGAAACUGUUGAAAGAAAGCCACGAGCAGCAACUAGAGGAGGUGAAGAUGAGGUCUGAGGUGGAGCAUAGAGACUUGGUUAAGAGCCUCACAGAGCAGUGGCAGAAGGAGAAAACACAGCUGGAUGAGCAGAACACGGAGGCCCUACAGGGGCUACUGGAGGAGGAGAUGCUGAAGAUGGUCUUUGAACAAGAGGAGAAGGAGAAGGAGCUGAGGGAGCAGUGGGAGCGUGAACAUGCUCAGCUUCAGCAGCAGCACCAGGAUGAGGUGCUGAGGAGAUUAGAGGAGGAGAGGUCCCAGUUUGAGCAGAGGGAGAGGAGGCUGAGAAAGCAGUGGGACAUGGAAAGGCUGCAACUAGAGGAAGACUACGAGGGAAUGAUCCAGGAACGAGUGAGUGAAGAGAAGGAAAAGCUCCAGGCGGAGAGAGAGGAGGACGAGAAGAUGCAGCAGCAGAGUUUGAAGGAGGAGAGGGAACAUCUGGAGGAGAGACAACGAGUAGCAGUGAAAGAACUGAGAGCCAAACACGCAGAGGAGAGGGCUACACUGAGCAGCACGCUGGAAAAACUACGAGACGACAUCGCUGUGGAGAGAUCUGAAGUUCAUCGGCUCGCUGAUGAAAACGCUGUCCUCAGCCAGAAAAUUGCUGCUUUAAAGAACGAGGACCUGAAAGAGGAACACGACAAGUUGCUGUAA
RNAcentral lists this long non-coding RNA (1043 nucleotides) under Gouania willdenowi (blunt-snouted clingfish). RNAcentral's name for it is "lncRNA (ENSGWIG00000002931.1)". Lineage: Eukaryota; Metazoa; Chordata; Actinopteri; Blenniiformes; Gobiesocidae. The record is from RNAcentral.